GUCGAACGGUAGAGGGGGCAACCCCUCGAGAGUGGCGAACGGGUGAGUAAUAUAUCGGAACGUGCCCAGUCGUGGGGGAUAACGUAGCGAAAGUUACGCUAAUACCGCAUACGAUCUACGGAUGAAAGCGGGGGACUCGCAAGAGCCUCGCGCGAUUGGAGCGGCCGAUAUCAGAUUAGGUAGUUGGUGGGGUAAAGGCUCACCAAGCCAACGAUCUGUAGCUGGUCUGAGAGGACGACCAGCCACACUGGAACUGAGACACGGUCCAGACUCCUACGGGAGGCAGCAGUGGGGGAUUUUGGACAAUGGACGCAAGUCUGAUCCAGCCAUUCCGCGUGCAGGAUGAAGGCCCUCGGGUUGUAAACUGCUUUUGUACGGAACGAAAAGGCUCUUCCUAAUACGGGGGGCUCAUGACGGUACCGUAAGAAUAAGCACCGGCUAACUACGUGCCAGCAGCCGCGGUAAUACGUAGGGUGCAAGCGUUAAUCGGAAUUACUGGGCGUAAAGCGUGCGCAGGCGGUUAUGUAAGACAGAGGUGAAAUCCCCGGGCUCAACCUGGGAACUGCCUUUGUGACUGCAUAGCUAGAGUACGGUAGAGGGGGAUGGAAUUCCGCGUGUAGCAGUGAAAUGCGUAGAUAUGCGGAGGAACACCGAUGGCGAAGGCAAUCCCCUGGACCUGUACUGACGCUCAUGCACGAAAGCGUGGGGAGCAAACAGGAUUAGAUACCCUGGUAGUCCACGCCCUAAACG
This 750-nucleotide ribosomal RNA is filed under the name uncultured bacterium. Its description in RNAcentral is "bacterial SSU rRNA". It matches the Rfam family "Bacterial small subunit ribosomal RNA", at positions 61 to 808 of the family's 1533-position model. The record is from RNAcentral.